RNAcentral lists this ribosomal RNA (267 nucleotides) under uncultured bacterium. RNAcentral describes it as "partial 16S ribosomal RNA". It matches the Rfam family "Bacterial small subunit ribosomal RNA", at positions 30 to 298 of the family's 1533-position model. The record is from RNAcentral.
AUUGAACGCUGGCGGCAUGCCUUACACAUGCAAGUCGAACGGCAGCACGGGAGCAAUCCUGGUGGCGAGUGGCGAACGGGUGAGUAAUAUAUCGGAACGUGCCCAGUCGUGGGGAUAACGUAGCGAAAGCUACGCUAAUACCGCAUACGAUCUAUGGAUGAAAGCGGGGGAUCGCAAGACCUCGCGCGAUUGGAGCGGCCGAUAUCAGAUUAGGUAGUUGGUGAGGUAAAGGCUCACCAAGCCGACGAUCUGUAGCUGGUCUGAGAG